This 629-nucleotide ribosomal RNA is filed under the name Fusarium sacchari. RNAcentral describes it as "eukaryotic LSU rRNA". It matches the Rfam family "Eukaryotic large subunit ribosomal RNA", at positions 243 to 898 of the family's 3401-position model. Lineage: Eukaryota; Fungi; Ascomycota; Sordariomycetes; Hypocreales; Nectriaceae. The record is from RNAcentral.
UCUGUAAAGUUCCUUCGACGAGUCGAGUAGUUUGGGAAUGCUGCUCUAAAUGGGAGGUAUAUGUCUUCUAAAGCUAAAUACCGGCCAGAGACCGAUAGCGCACAAGUAGAGUGAUCGAAAGAUGAAAAGCACUUUGAAAAGAGAGUUAAAAAGUACGUGAAAUUGUUGAAAGGGAAGCGUUUAUGACCAGACUUGGGCUUGGUUAAUCAUCUGGGGUUCUCCCCAGUGCACUUUUCCAGUCCAGGCCAGCAUCAGUUUUCCCCGGGGGAUAAAGACUUCGGGAAUGUGGCUCUCUUCGGGGAGUGUUAUAGCCCGUUGUGUAAUACCCUGGGGGGGACUGAGGUUCGCGCAUAUGCAAGGAUGCUGGCGUAAUGGUCAUCAACGACCCGUCUUGAAACACGGACCAAGGAGUCGUCUUCGUAUGCGAGUGUUCGGGUGUCAAACCCCUACGCGUAAUGAAAGUGAACGCAGGUGAGAGCUUCGGCGCAUCAUCGACCGAUCCUGAUGUUCUCGGAUGGAUUUGAGUAAGAGCAUACGGGGCCGGACCCGAAAGAAGGUGAACUAUGCCUGUAUAGGGUGAAGCCAGAGGAAACUCUGGUGGAGGCUCGCAGCGGUUCUGACGUGCAAAU